This 450-nucleotide ribosomal RNA is filed under the name uncultured bacterium. Its description in RNAcentral is "partial 16S ribosomal RNA". It matches the Rfam family "Bacterial small subunit ribosomal RNA", at positions 354 to 796 of the family's 1533-position model. The record is from RNAcentral.
GUGGGGAAUCUUCCGCAAUGGACGAAAGUCUGACGGAACAACGCCGCGUGAGUGAUGAAGGUCUUCGGAUUGUAAAGCUCUGUUAAUCGGGACGAAAGAGCCUAGUGUGAAUAAUGCUAGGAAGUGACGGUACCGGAAUAGAAAGCCACGGCUAACUACGUGCCAGCAGCCGCGGUAAUACGUAGGUGGCAAGCGUUGUCCGGAAUUAUUGGGCGUAAAGCGCGCGCAGGCGGAUCUGCCAGUCUGUCUUAAAAGUUCGGGGCAUAACCCCGUGAUGGGAUGGAACCUACCGAUCUAGAGUAUCGGAUAGGAAAGUGGAAUUCCUAGUGUAGCGGUGAAAUGCGUAGAUAUUAGGAAGAACACCAGUGGCGAAGGCGACUUUCUGGACGAAAACUGACGCUGAGGCGCGAAAGCCAGGGGAGCGAACGGGAUUAGAAACCCCAGUAGUCC